GCGAGAGCGAAGAAUGAAAAAGUAGGGCGUUUGGCCGGUCUUCGGUUUCGGUCUCUCUCUCGUCGGCUUGGUUCGGCCAUUAUUAGACAUUAUUGCUGCUGCCCAGAGAGGUCAAAAGUUCAUCCAGAUCUCCGGAUUCCAUCGAUGAUCAUGAGGAAAAUCUUCUUCAGUGGCGGGGGUUGCGCAUCACCCGCAUGCUCCUCUCCACUGCAAAUACCCUGAAUACCUUGGACAGGGCUACGAGGCCUUGCAGACAAACCCUCUGGACCAGGGUGCAGCACCAUUUGGGCCACGCCCACCUGUGCCCUGCCGUAUCGGUCUUCGUUUCGCUUAUUCAGGAUAUAUGGACCACUGAGGACGACGUAAUGUACAGUUUUUCUGGAAAAAGAGAAAUUGUUAUUAAUUGGUGCUGUUUAAUGUCCAGCGCCGCGGGUGCGCUGAUCCUGGCGCCGUAGCUGAUUGGACACGUAGCCAGACUGGACUGGACGUGAAAUUGCGCUGCUCUUGCUCGCCGGCCUGCUGCUAUGGCGGCGUAAACGGGCGCUGCUCCUCCGCAGGUCCGCCGUCGCCUCACCCCUGAAGCCCAUAUAAUAUUAUAUUCACCUCGUAUGCGGCUCCGGAAACGGCUUACAGAAGUUUUUUCAGAGAAAUUGUCUUUCGUGCCGCGUCAAACUGUCCAAUCGCUCACCCCGCCCACUUUAAAGAGUUUUCUGCAUCGCGCGCAGGAGGUUCGAAGUGAAGUUAGCUCGAGUUGGUAGCCCUGUCUGAGUACUGAGACUUCACUCCGAUCAUCUAACCCAUUUUAUAUAAGUGGACAGGGUGAGAGAUGGGCCAAUUUUGCCGCGGCAUGAACGAUAUAUUUGAUUUAGUCUUUGCUAGAUGGCGCCGCAGGAGUUUUGGUUGGG
This is a long non-coding RNA of Cloeon dipterum, 905 nucleotides long. RefSeq lists it as uncharacterized. The transcript is spliced from 3 exons. NCBI's taxonomy places the organism in Eukaryota, Metazoa, Arthropoda, Insecta, Ephemeroptera, Baetidae. The record is from RefSeq and is a predicted model, not a curated record.